GUUAGCCGUGGCUUUCUGGUUAGGUACCGUCAAGGUACCGCCCUAUUCGAACGGUACUUGUUCUUCCCUAACAACAGUAGUUUUACGAUCCGAAAACCUUCAUCACUCACGCGGCGUUGCUCCGUCAGACUUUCGUCCAUUGCGGAAGAUUCCCUACUGCUGCCUCCCGUAGGAGUCUGGGCCGUGUCUCAGUCCCAGUGUGGCCGAUCACCCUCUCAGGUCGGCUACGCAUCGUUGCCUUGGUGAGCCGUUACCUCACCAACUAGCUAAUGCGCCGCGGGUCCAUCUGUAAGUGGUAGCUAAAAGCCACCUUUUAUAAUUGAACCAUGCGGUUCAAUCAAGCAUCCGGUAUUAGCCCCGGUUUCCCGGAGUUAUCCCAGUCUUACAGGCAGGUUACCCACGUGUUACUCACCCGUCCGCCGCUGACAUCAGGGAGCAAGCUCCCAUCUGUCCGCUCGACUUGCAUGUAUUAGGCACGCCGCCAGCGUUCGUC
This 493-nucleotide ribosomal RNA is filed under the name Bacillus licheniformis. RNAcentral describes it as "partial 16S ribosomal RNA". The record is from RNAcentral. Lineage: Bacteria; Bacillati; Bacillota; Bacilli; Caryophanales; Bacillaceae.